This 242-nucleotide long non-coding RNA is filed under the name Trifolium pratense (red clover). RNAcentral's name for it is "long non-coding RNA (TPRA_LNC013050)". Lineage: Eukaryota; Viridiplantae; Streptophyta; Magnoliopsida; Fabales; Fabaceae. The record is from RNAcentral.
AAGAAGAAGAGUGACGCCAAUCCGGCACAAGAGCCACCAAAGAAAGCAAGAACCAAGAUGAGUGCAAGCAAAGGCCAAUCCUCUCGGUCCGCUCAAGCAUCUCCUCCUCGCCGGAGCAAUGUUACUCGACCACAGGUCCACCCUCACUUCAUUAGUGAAGUUCAUGAGAAAAGGUACACACAAAUUCGAACCUUUACUAUUAAUCAAGAGAAGGGUUUUGGUGAGGAUUUGCUGAAUGGUGU